This 2376-nucleotide non-coding RNA is filed under the name Pongo abelii (Sumatran orangutan). The record is from RNAcentral. Lineage: Eukaryota; Metazoa; Chordata; Mammalia; Primates; Hominidae.
AGAGGAGGGAGUCCCGGCGGGAGGGCGGGGGAGAGGCUGGCGGGAGGGGGGCUCCACGGAGCUGCAGCCAGGGCUGCGGUGCGCCUGCACGUCACGGCUACUCAAACCCAAGCACGUCCCGAAAGCGGUAUUUUCUGCGUCUGGGAGGUUUUUGCAUCCUCAGUUCCCACCGCUGGGGCUGGCGGCGACCAACUGUAAGAGAAACUCACUGGGAGGCGAGGCAGGGGGGUGCGGAGGAUGGGAAGGCGACUCUGAAGGGUGGGAAGUGAAUGCCGGACUUGAUCGUCUUUCUCUUUCUUUCAGCGCAGACCUGUCGCGGCCAGAGAGCUGUCAUUUCUGCACCGGGAUUCAGAAUUGAUCCAGUCCGCAGCGGAGGGGGCACAUCCCAGCUCCCGAGCUGCUGAGUGUCUCUGGCUGGAACAAUAGUAUUUUUUUCUCUGCGAGGCUGCAAUUAACAUCUUAUUUGUUCUGGCUCCAUACAGGCUUUGUCAGGAUCGCGGUGCGGCGACCGAGGUUGGGCUCUUGCAUUGCUUUCUGCUUGGCAAUGGAAUCAUGGUUUCGGGGUCUAAACUUUUGUUUCGUUUUGUAGUCUUAAUGUAUCUGAUUCUUUUUCAAGUUUCCCUAGUAACAGGUUUGGGGACGGGGUGGGAAGAAACGAGAAAAGGGGUGAAGAGAAACAACCAGAUUAUACAGAAAGGAAAAAUGGAAAAGGGAUGUUUCACCGCCUUUUAAUCUAUCUAUCUGCCUGUCUAUCUGUCUAUCAUCUAUCAGUCAUUUUGCCUCCUGGACAGUUGGCUGACGAAGUGUCUGAUAAACCAGCUUCAGAUACAUGCUACAAAAGGUCAUUCGCCUCCUGAUUAUGUUUCUACUUGUAAACGCAGUUGGUGGUUUGCAAAACAAGUGCUAAAAUAGUGCAGUGAUGUGGUGGGAGGAAACCAUAAUGGGCAAUUCAUAUAAAGUGCUGGAAUCUUGGUAAGGGUGAGUUUCUCGAGCGGCAGGUGAAGUUGAAUAAAGCAAUUUUCCAUCAUUUGUUCCCCUCACUCUUUUGCAUUUUUUUCCUCCGCUUGUUUCUCUCCCCUGGGGCGAUUAUGGAUAGCCAAGAACACGAACACCAUUUUAAAAGAGAUUGAUAGUGAAAACAGGAAGUUUAUGGUCUAUUAUCCACUGGAGUUGUUUGAAAUAUUAGAAUUGGUCCUUUACUUCUUAAUGCAUAUUAAUAGAGUGACCCUCUUCAAGGCUUUCCCGUCUUAAACGAGUGCCUGGGAUAAACACUCUGUAAGGGAAACAGUUAAUAAUUCCCCAGCAGGCUUUAACUAUUUUCCCAGUAACAAAUCACCGGCAAGAGAGCAGCCUGGGUGGCAUUUUGGUUUUGUGUCAUUUUGGUUCUUUACAAUAUUUUUUAUUCAUUUAAGGAAAUGUUAAAAGGAAAUAAUUAGGGUUUAUGUCCAGAACAAAUUUUGAAACACCGUUUAAGCAAACACAUUUUCUUUUAAAAACAAAGAACAUUGAGCAACACAAAGGAGAAAAACAUUUUAUUUAUUUCAACUUCCCUAGAGAUCAUAAUUAUGAUUUUUGCAAGGCAAUUUGGUCAGUUCUGUUACUUUAUCCAGAGGAAAAAACAAACAUGACAGACGUGGAAUAAAAACGAGGAAAAAAAUGCUUUGGAUGGUUUAUACAUAAAAAGGAAAGAAUGUAAUGUGAGGUUCAGUUAUACCUCUAUUUUGCAUCUAGUGAUUUCUCAUAUUAUCUUGUAACACCGUGAUUUUGAUGUUUCUUAGAAAUUCUUAAAGUCAUGACACGGUGGCAUAAGAAUAACAGCUGAAAGGGACAAUUUAAAAGCCUUAAUCCUAAAUGGAAAGGAUCACUUACUCCCAGGAUCGUUUAUAUUCAAGUAGAAGUCAGGGCAGGGUCAGAAAAGAAAGCCACCCUUAAUAAAGCGCUUCACCCUUCACAUUGUUUCUCAUAACCUUCAUAAAUUGCAGGCUACUGAGCUGGCCUGAUGAUGAUCCAGCUGAGAUAUAUUUAUAGCAGAUGAUUUGUGGAUGAUAACUAUGCCAAGCAAGACACUGUCUCCAGUAACCCCAGGCUCGUCUGACUUCCUCAGGGGAUUAUAAUAAAGAUUCACAAAAAGAACCCUAUAUGGACAGUCUGGUCUCUGGACACUAACAACAGCACAAUCCAAAGGCAAAGCAAGGAGGAACCACCUUGUUUCAUGUCUGCAAGAUGCUCCAUAUGAAAGCAUUGCUGACAUGUUGACCCAACAGCAAAAAGAGAGCAGCAGUUUACACACCCUCAGCUCUCUGUCCUUUCCUUUCUAUUGAUGUUGGUCCACUUUUAUGACUGAAUACAUAUUAAAAUCAACAUUUCAAAUUAUAA